Pelodiscus sinensis (Chinese soft-shelled turtle) is the source of this 2292-nucleotide non-coding RNA. The record is from RefSeq and is a predicted model, not a curated record. NCBI's taxonomy places the organism in Eukaryota, Metazoa, Chordata, Testudines, Trionychidae.
GGAUGACCAAUCAGGGCAAGUUCUGGAGUGCCCUAGCAGAAGAGAGUCUUGUGACCUGGACACCAUCUUGAACAGAAUGGCUGCUGCUAGAUUUCAAAACAAGGUCAGUAGAGUUGGCAGAUGGAUGACAUAUCUGUGGGUGGCAAAGGGAUUACGGUUUAAGAUUGUGGAUUUUUUAAAAUGGACUUUUGAUACUGAAUUCGGACACCUGUUUUCCUGAACUAUGCCUGUGCAACUCUUCUGAUGAUGCCUUAGACACAACUACAGACAUACCAUCAGGAGAACCACUACAGAAACAGGAAGAUGCUCUGAGACCUUUAACAACAAUGCUACCUCUAAGCAAAAGAAAACCACAGACAAAGCAUCAGAGCACAGCUCAUUGUUCAGAUGCAUCAAGCCAAAGGACUAAACAAAAAACUCAAGUAGAAAGAAACAAUGAAAACACAUCUCCAAUGUCUCAGUGGUUGACACUGCAUAAAGCCCUCAGAAAACUAAGAGUAAAAACACAAAGGUUCUCAAACCCAAAGCAUGUGCUUUAGAGAUUAUGAACAAAAAAACAAGAACUGAAAGUUCAUGCAAUGCAGGGGUAUGUCCUUAUGAAGUCUCUGACAUUUUAAUGAACUAUUCUCAUACUUCAGUAAGACUGAGUCCUCAGGGGUACUAACAGAAAAGAUAACUGGAGACUAUAUGAAAAUUCAAAAGACUCUUGUGACUGACUGAAAAAUUCUUCCGUUUCCCAGGAGAUGGUCCUGGUUCUGAGAAGGCAUGACCAGGCUUGGAAAGGGAUAAAGGCAGGGGGCUGACAGAAUUGCUAGGCCCCUAGACCCCUAGACAGGGUGAGUGGAACCCAAAUCCCCUUCCAGGCUCCGCCCCUUCUAUCAAAUUUGCAGGUCAUGAAAUAUUACAGGAUCAGCCACAUUUGUCAUUUCAUGUUUGGAGAGCAGUGCAGGAUUCAUACUUUCAGGCAAAGAUGGUGUGUAUACAUCUUUGCAAAGACAGUUGAAAAACAAUGUAAAACAAAGUUGGAAGCCCAUUGUAUGAUGGCACAGAGAAAACUGCAUCAUUGGACAGUGCUCCUGCCCCCACAAUGCACUGCAAUCCAUUCUUGUAAUUCCUGGUGGCAGAACAUGCUGGGUUGGGCAGUGAAAUAGCUACCCACAGUACACUGCUUUCUCUGUUAAUGCCAGAGCACUGGAUCUGGGCAUGUUCCACUGACACAAGAAGCAACAUGUGAAAUUGCACAGGCAAAAUAAUUUCAGCAGUUUAUGAUCGUUGACAGAACUUGUUGACAUAACUCUGUAGUGUAGACAUAGCCUAAGAGGUAUUGACUGGCUUAAAAAGCCUAUUGUUUCAUCCCAGGUCUACACUACAAAUUCUGUCAGUAAAACUGUGUUGCUCAGGGAUAUGGAAAAGCCAUGUUAUACUGACUAAGCUCCGAGUAGACAGCACUAUGUCAAGGAGAGGUUUUCUCCCAUUAGUAUAGCUACCACCACUUUGUAAGUUGGAAUGCCUACUUCCAUAAGAAAAGGGCAAAGGUAAAAAUCUUCACUAAGCCCUACAGCAGUGUAGCUGCACCAGCUCAGGGCAUAAGUAUAGGCAUGCCACAAACAGACAAUGGAGACAAAAGGUAGGUGGGAAAACAGAACCCCAGAGAGGUGAAGUGAGUUGCUCAAGGUAAGACCCCAGGUCAGUGACAACCAAGAAAAGAACCCAGGUCUCUUGAUUCCCCAUCCAGUGGGGUCUCCUUUAGACCACACAAUGUUUCCAAGUUUGUCCUAUCCUAAAUGUUGUACUAUCAGGAUCUCAUCUGAACCUAUCUAAGCAGACUUCUCCAAUCCCCUUAAUUCUUUUAACAUCAGUGCUGGGGUACCUUAUGGGGAAUUGGACAACACUACCCCUUCCAAUGUAAAGACAUAGCAACUAGUGUGGUUGAAAACCUAACUCAUCCAAAUAAGAAGUUGAAAUAAAAGUUGGCAAUUAUUAUUUAUAAUGAUGAAAGCAGCUAAACUAAAUAAUGAUGAUUGAUGGUAGGUACUUGUGUAAUACUGUAUCUUGUUCAUUGGCCUGGAACAUAUUAAUAUCUCAUUCACUCUUCAUUUAAAAACUAAAAAGAAAUUGCAGUGAAUUACAAAAUAAGAUAUAAACAUGAUUUUGUUAGUAGGGGAAAAAGGAGGGGAGGAUUUACUUGAAAGAGUUUAAAUAAUGAAUUCUCAACCUGCAAUUCCAGCAGUUCCUGGUUGUGUCAUGAUCACCCAUUCUUUUCUAAGAUUAGAUACAAGGCUCCUGAUUUGU